This 704-nucleotide ribosomal RNA is filed under the name Escherichia coli. RNAcentral describes it as "partial 23S ribosomal RNA". It matches the Rfam family "Bacterial large subunit ribosomal RNA", at positions 2227 to 2925 of the family's 2925-position model. Lineage: Bacteria; Pseudomonadati; Pseudomonadota; Gammaproteobacteria; Enterobacterales; Enterobacteriaceae. The record is from RNAcentral.
GUUGACCCGUGAUCCGGGUUGCGGACAGUGUCUGGUGGGUAGUUUGACUGGGGCGGUCUCCUCCUAAAGAGUAACGGAGGAGCACGAAGGUUGGCUAAUCCUGGUCGGACAUCAGGAGGUUAGUGCAAUGGCAUAAGCCAGCUUGACUGCGAGCGUGACGGCGCGAGCAGGUGCGAAAGCAGGUCAUAGUGAUCCGGUGGUUCUGAAUGGAAGGGCCAUCGCUCAACGGAUAAAAGGUACUCCGGGGAUAACAGGCUGAUACCGCCCAAGAGUUCAUAUCGACGGCGGUGUUUGGCACCUCGAUGUCGGCUCAUCACAUCCUGGGGCUGAAGUAGGUCCCAAGGGUAUGGCUGUUCGCCAUUUAAAGUGGUACGCGAGCUGGGUUUAGAACGUCGUGAGACAGUUCGGUCCCUAUCUGCCGUGGGCGCUGGAGAACUGAGGGGGGCUGCUCCUAGUACGAGAGGACCGGAGUGGACGCAUCACUGGUGUUCGGGUUGUCAUGCCAAUGGCACUGCCCGGUAGCUAAAUGCGGAAGAGAUAAGUGCUGAAAGCAUCUAAGCACGAAACUUGCCCCGAGAUGAGUUCUCCCUGACUCCUUGAGAGUCCUGAAGGAACGUUGAAGACGACGACGUUGAUAGGCCGGGUGUGUAAGCGCAGCGAUGCGUUGAGCUAACCGGUACUAAUGAACCGUGAGGCUUAACCUU